GACGAACGCUGGCGGCGUGCUUAACACAUGCAAGUCGAACGGAAAGGCCCUGCUUUUGUGGGGUGCUCGAGUGGCGAACGGGUGAGUAACACGUGAGUAACCUGCCCUUGACUUUGGGAUAACUUCAGGAAACUGGGGCUAAUACCGGAUAGGAGCUCCUGCUGCAUGGUGGGGGUUGGAAAGUUUCGGCGGUUGGGGAUGGACUCGCGGCUUAUCAGCUUGUUGGUGGGGUAGUGGCUUACCAAGGCUUUGACGGGUAGCCGGCCUGAGAGGGUGACCGGCCACAUUGGGACUGAGAUACGGCCCAGACUCCUACGGGAGGCAGCAGUGGGGAAUAUUGCACAAUGGGCGGAAGCCUGAUGCAGCAACGCCGCGUGCGGGAUGACGGCCUUCGGGUUGUAAACCGCUUUCGCCUGUGACGAAGCGUGAGUGACGGUAAUGGGUAAAGAAGCACCGGCUAACUACGUGCCAGCAGCCGCGGUGAUACGUAGGGUGCGAGCGUUGUCCGGAUUUAUUGGGCGUAAAGGGCUCGUAGGUGGUUGAUCGCGUCGGAAGUGUAAUCUUGGGGCUUAACCCUGAGCGUGCUUUCGAUACGGGUUGACUUGAGGAAGGUAGGGGAGAAUGGAAUUCCUGGUGGAGCGGUGGAAUGCGCAGAUAUCAGGAGGAACACCAGUGGCGAAGGCGGUUCUCUGGGCCUUUCCUGACGCUGAGGAGCGAAAGCGUGGGGAGCGAACAGGCUUAGAUACCCUGGUAGUCCACGCUGUAAACGGUGGGUACUAGGUGUGGGGUCCCUUCCACGGGUUCCGUGCCGUAGCUAACGCUUUAAGUACCCCGCCUGGGGAGUACGGCCGCAAGGCCAAAACUCAAAGGAAUUGACGGGGCCCCGCACAAGCGGCGGAGCAUGCGGAUUAAUUCGAUGCAACGCGUAGAACCUUACCUGGGUUUGACAUGGAUCGGGAGUGCUCAGAGAUGGGUGUGCCUCUUUUGGGGUCGGUUCACAGGUGGUGCAUGGCUGUCGUCAGCUCGUGUCGUGAGAUGUUGGGUUAAGUCCCGCAACGAGCGCAACCCUUGUUCACUGUUGCCAGCACGUUAUGGUGGGGACUCAGUGGAGACCGCCGGGGUCAACUCGGAGGAAGGUGGGGAUGACGUCAAGUCAUCAUGCCCCUUAUGUCCAGGGCUUCACGCAUGCUACAAUGGCUGGUACAGAGAGUGGCGAGCCUGUGAGGGUGAGCGAAUCUCGGAAAGCCGGUCUCAGUUCGGAUUGGGGUCUGCAACUCGACCUCAUGAAGUCGGAGUCGCUAGUAAUCGCAGAUCAGCAACGCUGCGGUGAAUACGUUCCCGGGGCU
This 1346-nucleotide ribosomal RNA is filed under the name uncultured bacterium. RNAcentral's name for it is "partial 16S ribosomal RNA". It matches the Rfam family "Bacterial small subunit ribosomal RNA", at positions 28 to 1381 of the family's 1533-position model. The record is from RNAcentral.